RNAcentral lists this transfer RNA (73 nucleotides) under Camelus ferus (Wild Bactrian camel). It matches the Rfam family "tRNA". Rfam says of the family: Transfer RNA (tRNA) molecules are approximately 80 nucleotides in length. Their secondary structure includes four short double-helical elements and three loops (D, anti-codon, and T loops). Lineage: Eukaryota; Metazoa; Chordata; Mammalia; Artiodactyla; Camelidae. The record is from Rfam by way of RNAcentral.
GAGGGUGUAGCUCAAGUGAUAGAGCACAUGCUUAGCAUGCACCAGGUCUUGGGUUCAAUUCCCAAUACCUCCU